CUGGUGAUGGAGAAGUAUAGAAAAGGCCAGAAGCAGUUAGAUUGUGUGUUUGUGGAUUUAGAAAAAGCUUAUGACAGGGUGCCAAGAGAAGAGUUGUGGUAU
Thalassophryne amazonica is the source of this 102-nucleotide long non-coding RNA. RefSeq lists it as uncharacterized. The record is from RefSeq and is a predicted model, not a curated record. Lineage: Eukaryota; Metazoa; Chordata; Actinopteri; Batrachoidiformes; Batrachoididae. The transcript has 3 exons.